CCUACGGGAGGCAGCAGUGGGGAAUAUUGGGCAAUGGGCGCAAGCCUGACCCAGCAACGCCGCGUGAAGGAAGAAGGCUUUCGGGUUGUAAACUUCUUUUCUCAGGGACGAAGAAAGUGACGGUACCUGAGGAAUAAGCCACGGCUAACUACGUGCCAGCAGCCGCGGUAAUACGUAGGUGGCAACAGUUAUCCGGAUUUACUGGGUUUAAAGGGCGUGUAGGCGGGGAAGCAAGUCAGAUGUGAAAACCACGGGCUCAACCUGUGGCCUGCAUUUGAAACUGUUUUUCUUGAGUGCUGGAGAGGCAGACGGAAUUCCUAGGGUAGCGGUGAAAUGCGUAGAUAUUAGGAGGAACACCAGUGGCGAAGGCGGUCUGCUGGACAGCAACUGACGCUGAGGCGCGAAAGCGUGGGGAGCAAACAGGAUUAGAUACCCGAGUAGUC
RNAcentral lists this ribosomal RNA (443 nucleotides) under uncultured bacterium. Its description in RNAcentral is "partial 16S ribosomal RNA". It matches the Rfam family "Bacterial small subunit ribosomal RNA", at positions 338 to 795 of the family's 1533-position model. The record is from RNAcentral.